UGUGUUGGCCAAAAAGUUCGUUUGGGUUUUUCUGUAAGAUGUUAUAGGAAAACCCGAACAAACUUUUUGGCCAAACCA
This 78-nucleotide microRNA precursor is filed under the name Tursiops truncatus (common bottlenose dolphin). RNAcentral describes it as "miRNA (ENSTTRG00000024306.1)". The record is from RNAcentral. Lineage: Eukaryota; Metazoa; Chordata; Mammalia; Artiodactyla; Delphinidae.